CCUACGGGUGGCAGCAGUCGAGAAUCAUUCACAAUGGGGGAAACCCUGAUGGUGCGACGCCGCGUGGGGGAAUGAAGGUCUUCGGAUUGUAAACCCCUGUCAUGUGGGAGCAAAUCAUAAAGAUAGUACCACAAGAGGAAGAGACGGCUAACUCUGUGCCAGCAGCUGCGGUAAUACAGAGGUCGCAAGCGUUGUUCGGAAUCACUGGGCGUAAAGCGUGCGUAGGCUGUUUCGUAAGUCGUGUGUGAAAGUUGCGGGCUCAACCCGCGGACGGCACAUGAUACUGCGAGACUAGAGUGAUGAAGGGGGGACUGGAAUUCUAGGUGUAGCAGUGAAAUGCGUAGAUAUCGAGAGGAACACUCGUGGCGAAGGCGGGUUCCUGGACAUUAACUGACGCUGAGGCACGAAGGCCAGGGGAGCGAAAGGGAUUAGAUACCCCGGUAGUC
Molecule: ribosomal RNA, 446 nt
Filed under: uncultured bacterium
Lineage: Bacteria
Description: partial 16S ribosomal RNA
Rfam family: Bacterial small subunit ribosomal RNA
Source: RNAcentral